RNAcentral lists this ribosomal RNA (465 nucleotides) under uncultured bacterium. RNAcentral's name for it is "partial 16S ribosomal RNA". It matches the Rfam family "Bacterial small subunit ribosomal RNA", at positions 28 to 507 of the family's 1533-position model. The record is from RNAcentral.
GACGAACGCUGGCGGCGUGCUUAACACAUGCAAGUCGAACGGAAAGGCCCCUUUUGGGGUACUCGAGUGGCGAACGGGUGAGUAACACGUGAGUAACCUGCCCUUGACUUCGGGAUAACUUCAGGAAACUGGGGCUAAUACCGGAUAGGAAUCCUUUCUGCAUGGUGGGGGUUGGAAAGCUUCGGGGGGUUGGGAUGGACUCGCGGCUUAUCAGCUUGUUGGUGGGGGAGUGGCUUACCAAGGCUUUGACGGGUAGGCGGCCUGGGAGGGCGAACGGCCACAUUGGGACUGGGGAACGGCCCCGAAUCCUACGGGGGGCAGCAGGGGGGAAUAUUGCACAAUGGGCGGAAGCCUGAUGCAGCAAAGCCGCGUGCGGGAUGACGGCCUUCGGGUUGUAAACCGCUUUCAGCAGGGGCGAAGCUUGUGGUGACGGUACCUGCAGAAGAAGCACCGGCUAACUACGUG